RNAcentral lists this ribosomal RNA (253 nucleotides) under uncultured bacterium. Its description in RNAcentral is "partial 16S ribosomal RNA". It matches the Rfam family "Bacterial small subunit ribosomal RNA", at positions 524 to 776 of the family's 1533-position model. The record is from RNAcentral.
GACGAACCGAGCGAACGUUGUUCGGAAUCACUGGGCUUAAAGGGCGCGUAGGCGGAUUCUCAAGUCCGGGGUGAAAUCCCACAGCUCAACUGUGGAACUGCCUCGGAUACUGCGAGUCUCGAGGGUGGCAGGGGUAUGCGGAACUAUCGGUGGAGCGGUGAAAUGCGUUGAUAUCGAUAGGAACUCCGGUGGCGAAGGCGGCAUACUGGUCCACUUCUGACGCUGAGGCGCGAAAGCCAGGGGAGCAAACGGG